CUGAUGCAGCGACGCCGCGUGCGGGAUGACGGCCUUCGGGUUGUAAACCGCUUUUGACAGGGACGAAGCGCGAGUGACUGUACCUGUAGAAUAAGGACCGGCCAACUACGUGCCAGCAGCCGCGGUAAUACGUAGGGUCCGAGCGUUGUCCGGAAUUACUGGGCGUAAAGAGCUUGUAGGCGGUUCGUCGCGUCGUUUGUGAAAACUUGGGGCUCAACCUUAAGCUUGCAGGCGAUACGGGCGGACUAGAGUACUUCAGGGGAGACUGGAAUUCCUGGUGUAGCGGUGAAAUGCGCAGAUAUCAGGAGGAACACCGGUGGCGAAGGCGGGUCUCUGGGAAGUAACUGACGCUGAGAAGCGAAAGCAUGGGUAGCAAACAGGAUUAGAUACCCUGGUAGUCCAUGCCGUAAACGGUGGGUACUAGGUGUGGGGCUCCUUCCACGGACUCCGUGCCGUAGCUAACGCAUUAAGUACCCCGCCUGG
Molecule: ribosomal RNA, 483 nt
Filed under: Nocardia coubleae
Lineage: Bacteria; Bacillati; Actinomycetota; Actinomycetes; Mycobacteriales; Nocardiaceae
Description: bacterial SSU rRNA
Rfam family: Bacterial small subunit ribosomal RNA
Source: RNAcentral